Long non-coding RNA from Leopardus geoffroyi (Geoffroy's cat), 4915 nucleotides. RefSeq lists it as uncharacterized. The record is from RefSeq and is a predicted model, not a curated record. NCBI's taxonomy places the organism in Eukaryota, Metazoa, Chordata, Mammalia, Carnivora, Felidae. The transcript is spliced from 4 exons.
GGGACUGGUUUGAUUGGUCUCUGAAACCCUGGUGCCUGAGCCAAUGUUGAACCCAGACAGGGUUCUAAAUAAAAGUUUUUGAAUGAAUAAACCCAUAAUGCAUCAUACACUGUUGAGCAAAGACCCCUUUUCCCUGCCAGAAUCUUUAGUGCAUUAACAAAAAGGCCCCAAACCAAAUAAUUUGUCCACAUUUUAUAAUGGCAUCAGUAUCGAGUUGUGCAUUUUUACAGCACUUUUGAUGUGGCCAAGAAUUUUUAUAUCCCUUCGACUUGAACCUCGAGUGUAAAUUGGGCUGGACGGGAAUGAGGCACUUGCUUUCACAGAGUAGUAAAUGGAGGCUCCAGGCGAUUGGUUCCAGGCAGUAAAGCACAGGGAUGAAGGGCAGAGGCUGGGAUCCCAGCAGUGGCCUGGAUUGAAGCGCAGCUCAGCCACGCCCUGGCUGACCACGCACGAGAGCUUCACCUCCCAGAGCCCAGUGACCUCACCCACAGGACGGGGACAGCUAUAGCUGCCAUGUGGAAUUGCCGUCAGCCUUACAAGGGAGGGUGCGUGCUGUCCAGAACAAGUUUCUGGCAUGCCGUCAGGACGCAGUAAAUAGUAUUGGCCCCCCAAGAUCAGGGGAAGGAUGUUACGGUGUUGGUGUUACCGCAGGGCAAAUGCAAUCGAGAGCGUGUGCCGCAGCCGGGUUAGAAUUCAAUUCUCAUGCCAACUCAGCCACACGGCUGGAAUAAAACCCCGUCCUUCCCUGGACCUUGGUUUCCUGAUCCGCAAAACACGGGGGGUAAGACAGGUUCAGGAUGCCUGGGCUCCAAGUGCCUCCUUCACAUGAAAGUUCUGUGCAGAGUCAACUUGGAUAACAAAACCGGGGGCUGCCCAGUGUAGAGACAGGGUGGGACCCCCCUCCCCGCCCCCCGCUUGGGGGAUGUUGGUGGAUUUCGGCGUCUCUAGACGGGCUACCUCGUAAGGUAAGGUAGCCCGCUUUCAUCCACGUUCCAACGUCUCCAGCCCAACUCUUAGAGUGUGUACGUCUUUAAGGAGAGUCGGGAUCUCCCCACCCCAACCUGUUCCCUUCUUUCCUCUGAUUCUCACUGUCAUGAUUGGGAGCCUUGAGGCUUCCUGGGAACAUAACAUUGAUGCAAAAGGCUGACUACACAGGGCCUCUGCCAGGGGACGCUCUCGGGAGCUGAGCAGUGAGCUGGGCCGGUGGAACCCCCUCCUACGAGAUGGGUCCAUGGGCCCGCGGUGUAAACGGCCUUUGUUACUUCAUAUUGUUAAACCGCGGCGCGGGGAGACCGGAACCGUGUGGAAGAACGCAGCGGGGUCAGGCCAGGCUGUGGCGAGGCUCGGGGAAAGCCCAUCGAGCGGAUCUUCUUUCCCAAAUGACUUUGCUCAUGUAAAAUUGUCUUCUAUUAUUGCUGGAAAAGGGGUUUUUAAAAGAGGUUAACACGCGACUUAAUGAAUAUGGAGUAAUAAUGUUCCUUGUAUCAAAUUAAAAUUCUAAGAGUGCCACGCGAAACAAGUACAUUAGGAGUAUCCGACAUUAUGUAUGAUUAUUACCGGACUGCUUGAUUGCCCUACAUACUUGGGAGUAAAAGAAACAGCUCUAAGUCUUGCAUUUGAAUUGGCGAGCGGCACCCUCACGGUGAGAACCUGGGCAGGCCAGAAGCAUGCCCACCCCGCUCAGGAACGUCCUGCGAUAUUAAGAUACAUCCUCAUGAUAAGCCAGAGGGAUAACGGAACCGAUAGACAAGAGCAUUGUCUCCGUGGAAGCAGGGGGUAGAGAGGGGUACGGACGAGUUGGGAUUGCAGGGGCUCUAUCCUUAUGCUGCGUGACCUUAGGCAACUCACGACACCUUUCUGAGCCUCCCGUUCGCGACACUGUUAUGUAGUCUGGAUAAAGGACCGCCGUGAGGGUACACCGAGGUUCCAGAUGUGACGGCACUUUGGAAAGUCUAGUGGGUGACUGAGUUCUGGGGAUUGAGGAUGAUGGAAAGGUCUUUAUGACAAUUGCCUCCCUGUUCUCGCUGCUCUCCCACUCCUGAAGUCCGGCUGCCAUCUAUAACACUUAAUAACAGUAACCCACACUUCUUAAGUGCUCACUAAGGGCCAGGUAUUAUUCCACUCGGUUCUACUGUAACUUUAUGUGCUAAGUAUUGUUAUUAACUCCAUUUUAUAGAGUAGGAAAUAGAGGUUCAGAAUGGCUGAUAAGCCGCCCAAGGCCACGGGACCAGUAAGCAGCAGGGAUUUAAACCCAAGUCAGAAGACGCUAAAACCUCUCAGUUCUUAUGCUGUAUUCGCCUCUAAAAUACGCCUGACAAGCUGCUUCCGAACUGUGCUUGAACACCUCCAGGGACGAAGGGCUCAUUACCACCCUCAUCCCUAUCCUCACAAUGAGUGCUCUCCCCUGACACAUAAAGCAUUAUUAUGGUGAGAUUAUUAUCUGUAAAAUAGAGUGAUUGGAGUAGGUGCUCUCUUAAGGUCUAUUCCAGAAACAUCACUUGGAGAGCACAAGCCAUUUACCGACAAAUCCAGCCUGGCUGCGGAAGAAAGGAUUAAACAUCUCCGUAUGAAAAUGGAACGCAGCGAGUAAGAGGUGUGUGUGAAUGGGGGCAAUUAAUCCUCUUUUGCCGAUCACGAUAAAAAAACAUUUGCUGGAGAGGAGGCAUUUAUUCCCUGCAGACACACGGUGCGAUUUUAAAAUAUCUCCACAGAAGGAAAGAUGACGGAGGAAAUACAAAUCUAUUAAAUGUGCAGGGCAGAAGAAAAAGGGGCUUCCAUAAAAGGAUUUCUAAAGCAUAUCAAAGGCUUCUGGGGUCAGCGAGGGCUGUCGGAACACUACCAAUUAGAGCUAAAUGGGAAACCGGCUUAAAUCUCAAAAUUAAAGAUUAAGAGCACCAAUUAACUUGUCUUCUAACAGAAAACAUAGCCCUUAAUGCUCAGUGUAAUUUAAUAUUUCAAAAUUAUGACCACAAGCAUCUAAGGCUGCCGUUCGACAAUAUAAAAUGGACAAUAAAAAUCUCCGCGGGGCCUUGGCUAUCCCGGCCGAACGGGCGUUGAACUACGGCGGGUACAGGGUGGCUCUGAAGUCACAAUGGCUGGACUGGCCCCGGGCACAGUUAGAACUCGCCCCAGGACACCUCAGCUCCGUUUUCCAAAGACCCAUUCUCUGGCCAGCAGGAACCUUUUGAUUUGUGUUUCGCAGGCUUUAAUAAGGUGGAUUAUGCUGAUGUGAGCGGAGGAAACCCCCAGCCGUGCUGAGAGGGGCCGCAGACUUUUCCAGCAGAUUUCUCCAAAGCAGGGCUUUUCAACCUUGAGGAGCUUUGAAAAUGCCUCACCCCUGGGCCUUCAUAUAGACCCCAAGCCCAGGGCAUUGGAAUUUCUUAAAGCUCUCGGUUAAUUCUCACUGGCACCCGGGGUUGAAAACUGCUCCUCUGAAAUAUUGUGGACCCACCGAAGAAGAAAAAGCGGACAUCUGGAACACAGGGAAGACUUGAUUUAUGCUGGAGUCACCAGGAUGAUACCCGCCAUGCUGACAGUGAGCUGUGCAGAUGAGAACACGGGUCCACGGAAAAAUUUCCUCCUGGCAGGUAGGAACUGGGAGCUGAGUAGAACACAGAAUUCGGCCUCUGACAAAGUCUUGGAGCAUAAAACCAGAAAUAUAAAAAGCCCACGGCUGAGAAUCUAGGUGUCUGGGGACACCCCUACACGUGUGAGGCCCCUGUGGGUGACCGGCCUUCCUAAGGAGGGUGAAGCUGAAACCCCCAUGUGGAGCUGUCCAGGACCUCCUCCUGGCCUGGAACCAGCUUCCCCGUCAUUUCUCCGUGACUCUUCUCCCAUUGCCUGGGUAACAGCGUGGGGCACUGGGCAAGUUCCCAACUCUGCAGACAGAUGGAUGAACUCAGGGUGCAGAGACACCAUUUAACGAGUGAUCUUGGGCAAAGAGCUCCCCACCUCGAGCUUCCUCAGUUUCCUCAUCUAUAAAACACAGAUAAUAACAGGACUCACGGGGUUAGUGUAAGGACCGCCUGAGAUCAGCCCUGCGGGCCCCCGGCGAGGCGUCUGGCUUCACGGAUGUCCCAUCACAGACCCGCUCUCGACAUCCACUGUGUAUCACCUCGUGCCUCCCUGUCGCCGUGCUUUCGCCCAGCCAGGACCCUCCACCUGGAGUGCCUUCCCUCAUCGUCCAUCGCUCCCUGUCUGAUGCCGGGUUAGAUGCUACACUUACCCCUCGCUUUUUUCUCUUUGCUUCUUCUCCAUUCCAGAAUUUAGGUUUUAAACUCUCCAACAGGACUGCUCUCUCCUCUGACCGUUCACCUCACCUGCGUCCUGGACCCCUACUUUGCAGUGACCAUCGUCUGCCUGAAUCACACCGUCACUCCCCCCCCCCCCCCCCCGCCCACUCCCACUUAGGAUUCCCUGAGGAUAACCGGUGUGGCAUUUCAUCUCCUGGAGGCCAGUGUGGAGUCUCAGAAAAAGCAUGUGCUUUGGCACGAAUCCUCCCAGCGAGCCAAAGAGAUGACUAAGCGGAGGAGGCUCAGAGAGGUGAAGACAGUUGUCCCUGGUCACCCAGCUAGCGAGUGCUGGGCUGGGGUCUGAACCCCUCUCACCACCAACUGGUACUUGUUCCUCUGCCAUAUCACUUGGGCUUUCGCAUAGUUUUUCUUUGAAGAAAGGGAUAAACAGCUUAAAAAUCAUUGGAAACCAGCGCACCAGACCAAGCGAAGUCCGGGGCUCGUGCCUGGCGGAUCGGCGUGUGAUAAGAGAGCUGCCCGGAGUCUCAGCUUGGAUGUUGGCCCACAGCCCUACUGUGGCCGGCCCCUGACUAGACCUGUCCUCAUCCCACUGACGAACUCAGAGGGGGCUGCCCAGGGCUUGGCAAGCACUAUCUCCUGCGAUCUACUGGAACGAUCUACCA